UGUUCGAUGGCGUAGUUGGUCAUCCCAUCUGCCUAACACCAGAGACUGUCAGUUUCACGGAAGGUCCCCAGUUCGAGCCUCGGUCGAAUUA
Marasmius fiardii PR-910 is the source of this 91-nucleotide non-coding RNA. The record is from the annotation of a GenBank genome assembly. Lineage: Eukaryota; Fungi; Basidiomycota; Agaricomycetes; Agaricales; Marasmiaceae.